Non-coding RNA from Mycena rosella, 91 nucleotides. The record is from the annotation of a GenBank genome assembly. NCBI's taxonomy places the organism in Eukaryota, Fungi, Basidiomycota, Agaricomycetes, Agaricales, Mycenaceae.
AGCCCGAUAGCGCACGGUGCGCGCCCACGCUCAUUAUCUGACGCGAAUAAUAGUACCUGUGGGAUCCCCUGUUCGACUCAGGGUCGGGCUA